GACAGAGGAUGCAAGCGUUAUCCGGAAUUAUUGGGCGUAAAGCGUCUGUAGGUGGCUUUUUAAGUCCGCCGUCAAAUCCCAGGGCUCAACCCUGGACAGGCGGUGGAAACUACCAAGCUGGAGUACGGUAGGGGCAGAGGGAAUUUCCGGUGGAGCGGUGAAAUGCGUAGAGAUCCGGAGGAACACCAAAGGCGAAGGCAGUGUCCUGGGGAGUACCUGACGCUCAGGUGCGAAAGCCAGGGGAGCGAACGGG
RNAcentral lists this ribosomal RNA (253 nucleotides) under uncultured bacterium. RNAcentral's name for it is "partial 16S ribosomal RNA". It matches the Rfam family "Bacterial small subunit ribosomal RNA", at positions 524 to 776 of the family's 1533-position model. The record is from RNAcentral.